RNAcentral lists this ribosomal RNA (1352 nucleotides) under uncultured bacterium. RNAcentral describes it as "bacterial SSU rRNA". It matches the Rfam family "Bacterial small subunit ribosomal RNA", at positions 28 to 1381 of the family's 1533-position model. The record is from RNAcentral.
ACUGAAAACUGGCUGCCUGCCUUAUACCUGAUAUGCGAACGGUAACAAGUCCUCCUAUGCUGACGAGAGGUGAACAGGCGAGUCAAUACCUCAGAACGUGCCCGAUAGAUGGGGGACAACCAGGAGAAAGCUUUGCUCUUACCACCUACAAUCGUACGGAUGAGAAGCGGGCGAUCUUCUGACCUCGCUGAUAACGUGCGGUCGACUCCACAUUACGCCAAUGGGGGGAUAAAAGCUUACCAUGACUACCAUCUGUAGCUGGUCUGAAAAGAUGAUCAGCCACACUGGGACUGAGACACGGUCCACACUCCUCACGGAGGCAGCAGUGGGGAAUUUUGGACAAUGGGUGAAAGCCUGAUCCAGACAUGCCCCGUGCAUGAUGAACGCCUUCGGGUUGUAAACUGCCUUUGUACGGAUCGACAAGCCUCUUUCUAAUAAAGAGGGGUCAUGACGGUACCGGAGGAAUACCCACCGGCUACCUACGUGUCAGCAGCCGCGGCAAUACGUUAGGGUGCAGGCUUUUAUCGGAAUUACUGGGCGUAAGCGUGCGCAGGCGGUUUUGUAGACAGAGGUGAAAUCCCCGGGCUCUUUUGGGAACUGCCUUUGUGACUGCAAGGCUGGAGUGCGGCAAAGGGGGAUGGAAUUCCGCGUGUAACAGUGAAAUGCGUAAAUAUGCGGAGGAACACCGAUGGCAAAGGCAAUCCCCUGGGCCUGCACUGACGCUCAUGCACGAAAGCGUGGGGAGCAAACAGGAUUAAAUACCCUGGUAGUCCACGCCCUAAACGAUGUCAACUGGUUGUUGGGUCUUCACUGACUCAGUAACGAAGCUAACGCGUGAAGUUGACCGCCUGGGGAGUACGGCCGCAAGGUUGAAACUCAGAGGAAUUGACGGGGACCCGCACAAGCGGAGGAUGAUGUGGUUUAAUUCGAUGCAACGCGAAAAACCUUACCCACCUUUGACAUGGCAGGAAGUUUCCAGAGAUGGAUUCGUGCCCGAAAGGGAACCUGCACACAGGUGCUGCAUGGCUGUCGUCAGCUCGUGUCGUGAGAUGUUGGGUUAAGUCCCGCAACGAGCGCAACCCUUGCCAUUAGUUGCUACGAAAGGGCACUCUAAUGGGACUGCCGGUGACAAACCGGAGGAAGGUGGGGAUGACGUCAAGUCCUCAUGGCCCUUAUAGGUGGGGCUACACACGUCAUACAAUGGGUGGUACAGAGGGUUGCCAACCCGCGAGGGGGAGCUAAUCCCAUAAAGCCAGUGGUAGUCUGGAUCGCAGUCUGCAAGUCGACUGCGCGAAGUCGGAAUCGUUAGUAAUGGCGGAUCAGAAUGUAGCGGUGAAUAAGUUUUCGUGUUG